RNAcentral lists this ribosomal RNA (464 nucleotides) under uncultured bacterium. Its description in RNAcentral is "partial 16S ribosomal RNA". It matches the Rfam family "Bacterial small subunit ribosomal RNA", at positions 28 to 506 of the family's 1533-position model. The record is from RNAcentral.
GACGAACGCUGGCGGCGUGCUUAACACAUGCAAGUCGAACGGAAAGGCCCCUUUGGGGGUACUCGAGUGGCGAACGGGUGAGUAACACGUGAGUAACCUGCCCUUGACUUCGGGAUAACUUCAGGAAACUGGGGCUAAUACCGGAUAGGAAUCCUUGCUGCAUGGUGGGGGUUGGAAAGCUUCGGCGGUUUUGGAUGGACUCGCGGCUUAUCAGCUUGUUGGUGGGGUAGUGGCUUACCAAGGCUUUGACGGGUAGCCGGCCUGAGAGGGCGACCGGCCAAAUUGGGACUGAGAGAGGGCCCAGACUCCAACGGGGGGGAGCAGUGGGGAAUUUUGCAAAAUGGGCGGAAGCCUGAUGCAGCAACCCCGGGUGCGGGAUGACGGCCUUCGGGUUUUAAACCGUUUUCAGCGGGGGGAAAGCUUUGGGGGAGGGUACCGGCAAAAGAAGCACCGGUAAAUUACGG